AGCGAACGCUGGCGGCAGGCCUAACACAUGCAAGUCGAACGAACCUUUCGGGGUUAGUGGCGGACGGGUGAGUAACACGUGGGAACGUGCCUUUAGGUUCGGAAUAACUCAGGGAAACUUGUGCUAAUACCGAAUGUGCCCUUCGGGGGAAAGAUUUAUCGCCGUUAGGGCGGCCCUCGUCUGAUUAGCUAGUUGGUUGAGGUAAUGGCUCACCAAGGCGACGUUCAGUAGCUGGUCUGAGAGGAUGGUCAGCCACAUUGGGACUGUGACACGGCCCAAACUCCUACGGGAGGCAGCAGUGGGGAAUCUUGCGCAAUGGGCGAAAGCCUGACGCAGCCAUGCCGCGUGAAUGAUGAAGGUCUUAGGAUAGUAAAAUUCUUUCAACGGGGACGAUAAUGACGGUACCCGGAGAAGAAGCCCCGGCUAACUUCGUG
RNAcentral lists this ribosomal RNA (434 nucleotides) under uncultured bacterium. RNAcentral's name for it is "partial 16S ribosomal RNA". It matches the Rfam family "Bacterial small subunit ribosomal RNA", at positions 29 to 507 of the family's 1533-position model. The record is from RNAcentral.